This 257-nucleotide ribosomal RNA is filed under the name uncultured bacterium. RNAcentral describes it as "partial 16S ribosomal RNA". It matches the Rfam family "Bacterial small subunit ribosomal RNA", at positions 524 to 776 of the family's 1533-position model. The record is from RNAcentral.
GACAGAGGAUGCAAGCGUUAUCCAGAAUGAUUGGGCGUAAAGCAUCUGUAGGUGGCUUUUCAAGUAUGCCGUCAAAUCCUAGGGCUCAACCCUGGACUGGCGGUGGAAACUACCAAGAUGGAGUACGAUAGGGUCAGAGGGCUCAUAGAGCCGGUGGAGUGGUGAAAUACAUAGAGAUCAGAAAGAACACCAAUGGUGAAAGCACUCUACUGGGCCGACACUGAUACUGAGAGACGAAAUCUAGGGGAGCAAAUGGG